AAUCAACGCUGGCGGCGUGCCUAACACAUGCAAGUCGAACGCGAAAGCCCCUUCGGGGGCGAAGUAGAGUGGCGUCCGGGUGAGUAACACGUGGGUAAUCUACCUCCGGGUGGGGAAUAACUCGCCGAAAGGCGGGCUAAUACCGCAUAAUGCAGCGGCACCGAAUGGUGAUUAGUUGUUAAAGCGGGGGACCUUAGGGCCUCGCGUCUGGAGAGGAGCCUGCGGCAGAUUAGCUUGUUGGUAGGGAAUGGCCUACCAAGGCUGCGAUCUGUAGCUGGUCUGAGAGGAUGAUCAGCCACACUGGAACUGAGACACGGUCCAGACUCCUACGGGGAGGCAGCAGUGGGGAAUAUUGGACAAUGGGCGCAAAGCCUGAUCCAGCCAUGCCGCGUGUGUGAAG
Molecule: ribosomal RNA, 400 nt
Filed under: uncultured bacterium
Lineage: Bacteria
Description: bacterial SSU rRNA
Rfam family: Bacterial small subunit ribosomal RNA
Source: RNAcentral